Molecule: ribosomal RNA, 340 nt
Filed under: Actinomycetes bacterium
Lineage: Bacteria; Bacillati; Actinomycetota; Actinomycetes
Description: bacterial SSU rRNA
Rfam family: Bacterial small subunit ribosomal RNA
Source: RNAcentral
UUCACGGAGAGUUUGAUCCUGGCUCAGGACGAACGCUGGCGGCGCGCUUAACACAUGCAAGUCGAGCGAGAACCAGGGCUUCGGCCCUGGGGACAGCGGCGAACGGGUGAGUAACACGUGGGUAAUCCACCCUUGGCACCGGAAUAGCCCGGGGAAACCCGGAUUAAUGCCGGAUGGCCCGUCGACCCUUCGGGGCUGACGGAAAAGGUAGCUUCGGCCUCCGGCCGGGGACGAGCCCGCGGCGGAUUAGCUUGUUGGUGGGGUAACGGCCUACCAAGGCUCCGAUCCGUAGCUGGUCUGAGAGGACGAUCAGCCACACUGGGACUGAGACACGGCCCAG